This 424-nucleotide ribosomal RNA is filed under the name uncultured Anaerotaenia sp. RNAcentral's name for it is "bacterial SSU rRNA". It matches the Rfam family "Bacterial small subunit ribosomal RNA", at positions 338 to 754 of the family's 1533-position model. The record is from RNAcentral. Lineage: Bacteria; Bacillati; Bacillota; Clostridia; Lachnospirales; Lachnospiraceae.
CCUACGGGAGGCAGCAGUAGGGAAUCUUCGGCAAUGGACGAAAGUCUGACCGAGCAACGCCGCGUGAGUGAAGAAGGUUUUCGGAUCGUAAAACUCUGUUGGUAGAGAAGAACGUUGGUGAGAGUGGAAAGCUCAUCAAGUGACGGUAACUACCCAGAAAGGGACGGCUAACUACGUGCCAGCAGCCGCGGUAAUACGUAGGUCCCGAGCGUUGUCCGGAUUUAUUGGGCGUAAAGCGAGCGCAGGUGGUUUAUUAAGUCUGGUGUAAAAGGCAGUGGCUCAACCAUUGUAUGCAUUGGAAACUGGUAGACUUGAGUGCAGGAGAGGAGAGUGGAAUUCCAUGUGUAGCGGUGAAAUGCGUAGAUAUAUGGAGGAACACCGGUGGCGAAAGCGGCUCUCUGGCCUGUAACUGACACUGAGGCUC